Suricata suricatta (meerkat) is the source of this 657-nucleotide long non-coding RNA. RefSeq lists it as uncharacterized. The transcript has 4 exons. Lineage: Eukaryota; Metazoa; Chordata; Mammalia; Carnivora; Herpestidae. The record is from RefSeq and is a predicted model, not a curated record.
AACCUGAUGUAGAAGAAUUUUUGGAGCCCUGAACUUUGAUAGGUCCCAUGCAGGUGCCAGAUGCCAGAGCAGACCAGUCUGGACAGACAUAGCUUGAAAAUUGGAGAAGAAAGAAUAAAAAAAAAUCCACUGAGGAAGGCAAUAAACCUCCACGAACCUGAACGUGAAGAGGCUACAGAAGAACCCUCUGAGGAUCCAUAAUAUAUUUUCAACAAUUCAAUGUUAGUGGAAAUCAAGGGCCAUGGAGGUCACGUGACUGGGCAGUCCAUAGGAAGUAGUAAUUCCUGCCUGGGGAAUUAAGGCCAUUGGUGUUAAAAAGCAGAAGAAACCUUUGGUUGGAAAAAGAGCCUGUAGCUACCAAGAAUCCAUCUCCUGGGAAGAAGCCUGCAGAAAAGAAACCCACCACAGAAAGAAAGCAGCCUGCUGCAUAAACUUACAUCUGUUUAUUCCACAAUGUCAAAUCAUUUCAAACAGUUAAUUUUGAAUAAACACCUGAUCAAAGGAGAGUGGUCUCACUGAAUACCAUGCCAACUGCUCCUACGAAGGCGAUUCGCAGUAACUUCCUUGAUAAUUGCGACAGCAAGUGACACAUGGAAAUGCAGAACUGUCAAUCUUGUGAUUAAUGAUCCAAAGUGUCAGACAUCAUAAAGGGACUCA